Molecule: ribosomal RNA, 253 nt
Filed under: uncultured bacterium
Lineage: Bacteria
Description: partial 16S ribosomal RNA
Rfam family: Bacterial small subunit ribosomal RNA
Source: RNAcentral
UACGGAGGGGGCUAGCGUUGUUCGGAAUUACUGGGCGUAAAGCGCACGUAGGCGGCUUUGUAAGUUAGAGGUGAAAGCCCAGAGCUCAACUCUGGAACUGCCUUUAAGACUGCAUCGCUUGAAUCAUGGAGAGGUCAGUGGAAUUCCGAGUGUAGAGGUGAAAUUCGUAGAUAUUCGGAAGACCACCAGUGGCGAAGGCGACUGACUGGACAUGUAUUGACGCUGAGGUGCGAAAGCGUGGGGAGCAAACAGG